This 253-nucleotide ribosomal RNA is filed under the name uncultured bacterium. RNAcentral describes it as "partial 16S ribosomal RNA". It matches the Rfam family "Bacterial small subunit ribosomal RNA", at positions 524 to 776 of the family's 1533-position model. The record is from RNAcentral.
UACGGAGGAUGCAAGCGUUAUCUGGAUUCAUUGGGUUUAAAGGGUGCGCAGGUGGGAAUGUAAGUCAGUGGUGAAAUACUGCCGCUUAACGGUAGAGUUGCCAUUGAUACUGCGUUUCUUGAGUAUGGUUGAGGUAGGUGGAAUGUGUUGUGUAGUGGUGAAAUGUAUAGAUAUGACACAGAACGUCGAUUGCGAAGGCAACUUACUAAGCCAUUACUGACACUGAGGCACGAAAGCGUGGGGAUCGAACAGG